Molecule: ribosomal RNA, 406 nt
Filed under: uncultured bacterium
Lineage: Bacteria
Description: partial 16S ribosomal RNA
Rfam family: Bacterial small subunit ribosomal RNA
Source: RNAcentral
AUUGAACGCUGGCGGCAGGCCUAACACAUGCAAGUCGAACGAGUGGCGGACGGGUGAGUAAUGUCUGGGAAACUGCCUGAUGGAGGGGGAUAACUACUGGAAACGGUAGCUAAUACCGCAUACCAUCAGAUGUGCCCAGAUGGGAUUAGCUAGUAGGUGGGGUAACGGCUCACCUAGGCGACGAUCCCUAGCUGUUCUGAGAGGAGGACCAGCCACACUGGAACUGAGACACGGGCCAGACUCCUACGGGAGGCAGCAGUGGGGAAUAUUGCACAAUGGGCGCAAGCCUGAUGCAGCCAUGCCGCGUGUAGGAAGAAGCCCUUCGGGUUGUAAAGUACUUUCAGCGGGGAGGCGUUACCCGCAGAAGAAGCACCGGCUAACUACGUACCAGCAGCCGCGGUAAUAC